RNAcentral lists this transfer RNA (66 nucleotides) under Curculionoidea sp. 8 KM-2017. RNAcentral describes it as "tRNA-Phe". The record is from RNAcentral. Lineage: Eukaryota; Metazoa; Arthropoda; Insecta; Coleoptera.
AUUUAAAUAGCUUAUAUUUAGAGCAUAGUAUUGAAGAUACUAAGGAAAUUACUUAAUUUUUAAAUA